GGCCUUGACAUACUAAGAACUUCCAGAGAUGGAUUGGUGCCUUCGGGAACUUAGAUACAGGUGCUGCAUGGCUGUCGUCAGCUCGUGUCGUGAGAUGUUGGGUUAAGUCCCGNAACGAGCGCAACCUUUUCCUAUUUGCCAGCGGGUCAUGCCGGGAACUUUAAGGAUACUGCCAGUGACAAACUGGAGGAAGGCGGGGACGACGUCAAGUCAUCAUGGCCCUUACGGCCAGGGCUACACACGUGCUACAAUGGUCGGUACAAAGGGUUGCUACCUCGCGAGAGGAUGCUAAUCUCAAAAAGCCGAUCGUAGUCCGGAUCGCAGUCUGCAACUCGACUGCGUGAAGUCGGAAUCGCUAGUAAUCGCGGAUCAGAAUGCCGCGGUGAAUACGUUCCCGGGCCUUGUACACACCGCCCGUCACACCAUGGGAGUUUGUUGCACCAGAAGUAGGUAGUCUAACCGCAAGGAGGACGCUUACCACGGUGUGGCCGAUGACUGGGGUGAAGUCGUAACAAGGUAGGCGUAGAUGA
RNAcentral lists this ribosomal RNA (530 nucleotides) under uncultured bacterium. Its description in RNAcentral is "bacterial SSU rRNA". It matches the Rfam family "Bacterial small subunit ribosomal RNA", at positions 977 to 1509 of the family's 1533-position model. The record is from RNAcentral.